GGAGGAUUCGCCUAGUGGCCUAGGGCGCACGCUUGGAAAGCGUGUUGGGGGCAACCCCUCACGAGUUCGAAUCUCGUAUCCUCCGCC
RNAcentral lists this transfer RNA (87 nucleotides) under Streptomyces tubercidicus. RNAcentral describes it as "tRNA-Ser". It matches the Rfam family "tRNA". From Rfam's summary of the family: Transfer RNA (tRNA) molecules are approximately 80 nucleotides in length. Their secondary structure includes four short double-helical elements and three loops (D, anti-codon, and T loops). Lineage: Bacteria; Bacillati; Actinomycetota; Actinomycetes; Kitasatosporales; Streptomycetaceae. RNAcentral also lists the same sequence under 9 other names. The record is from RNAcentral.